Molecule: ribosomal RNA, 464 nt
Filed under: uncultured bacterium
Lineage: Bacteria
Description: partial 16S ribosomal RNA
Rfam family: Bacterial small subunit ribosomal RNA
Source: RNAcentral
ACGAACGCUGGCGGCGUGCUUAACACAUGCAAGUCGAACGGAAAGGCCCUGCUUGCAGGGUACUCGAGUGGCGAACGGGUGAGUAACACGUGGGUGAUCUGCCCUGCACUUCGGGAUAAGCCUGGGAAACUGGGUCUAAUACCGGAUAGGAGCCAUUUUUAGUGUGAUGGUUGGAAAGUUUUUUCGGUGUAGGAUGAGCUCGCGGCCUAUCAGCUUGUUGGUGGGGUAAUGGCCUACCAAGGCGGCGACGGGUAGCCGGCCUGAGAGGGUGGACGGCCACAUUGGGACUGAGAUACGGCCCAGACUCCUACGGGAGGCAUCAGUGGGGAAUAUUGCACAAUGGGCGCAAGCCUGAUGCAGCGACGCCGCGUGGGGGAUGACGGCCUUCGGGUUGUAAACUCCUUUCGCUAGGGACGAAGCUUUUUGUGACGGUACCUAGAUAAGAAGCACCGGCUAACUACGUG